AAGCGCAACGCAAUGCCAGUUUACUGGCGCUGAAACGCCUCCGGGCGCUUCAGGUAAGGAAGCCACCCCCUGAGGGUGGCUUUUUUAUAUGGC
RNAcentral lists this non-coding RNA (93 nucleotides) under Atlantibacter hermannii NBRC 105704. Lineage: Bacteria; Pseudomonadati; Pseudomonadota; Gammaproteobacteria; Enterobacterales; Enterobacteriaceae. The record is from Rfam by way of RNAcentral.